UACGAAGGGGGCUAGCGUUGCUCGGAAUUACUGGGCGUAAAGGGCGCGUAGGCGGCACUGUUAGUCAGGCGUGAAAGUCCUGGGCUCAACCUGGGAACUGCGCUUGAUACGGCAGAGCUAGAGGAUGGAAGAGGCUCGCGGAAUUCCCAGUGUAGAGGUGAAAUUCGUAGAUAUUGGGAAGAACACCGGUGGCGAAGGCGGCGAUCUGGGUCGAUACUGACGCUGAGGUGCGAAAGCGUGGGGAGCAAACAGG
This 253-nucleotide ribosomal RNA is filed under the name uncultured bacterium. RNAcentral describes it as "partial 16S ribosomal RNA". It matches the Rfam family "Bacterial small subunit ribosomal RNA", at positions 524 to 776 of the family's 1533-position model. The record is from RNAcentral.